This 2902-nucleotide ribosomal RNA is filed under the name human gut metagenome. Its description in RNAcentral is "bacterial LSU rRNA". It matches the Rfam family "Bacterial large subunit ribosomal RNA". The record is from RNAcentral.
UUAAGCGACUAAGCGUACACGGUGGAUGCCCUGGCAGUCAGAGGCGAUGAAGGACGUGCUAAUCUGCGAAAAGCGCCGGCGAGGUGAUAUGAACCCUUGACCCGGCGAUGUCCGAAUGGGGAAACCCAGUGCAAUCCGUUGCACUAUCGUUAACUGAAUACAUAGGUUAACGAGGCGAACCGGGGGAACUGAAACAUCUAAGUACCCCGAGGAAAAGAAAUCAACCGAGAUUCCCCCAGUAGCGGCGAGCGAACGGGGAGCAGCCCGGAGUCUGAAUCAGCUUGUGUGUUAGUGGAACGGUCUGGAAAGUCCGACGGUACAGGGUGAUAGUCCCGUACACGAAAGCACACUUGCUGUGAACUCGAAGAGUAGGGCGGGACACGUGGUAUCCUGUCUGAAUAUGGGGGGACCAUCCUCCAAGGCUAAAUACUCCUGACUGACCGAUAGUGAACCAGUACCGUGAGGGAAAGGCGAAAAGAACCCCGGCGAGGGGAGUGAAAAAGAACCUGAAACCGUGUACGUACAAGCAGUGGGAGCCUCUUUAUGGGGUGACUGCGUACCUUUUGUAUAAUGGGUCAGCGACUUAUAUUCUGUAGCAAGGUUAACCGUAUAGGGGAGCCGAAGGGAAACCGAGUCUUAACUGGGCGUUAAGUUGCAGGGUAUAGACCCGAAACCCGGUGAUCUAGCCAUGGGCAGGUUGAAGGUUGGGUAACACUAACUGGAGGACCGAACCGACUAAUGUUGAAAAAUUAGCGGAUGACCUGUGGCUGGGGGUGAAAGGCCAAUCAAACCGGGAGAUAGCUGGUUCUCCCCGAAAGCUAUUUAGGUAGCGCCUCGUGAACUCAUCUUCGGGGGUAGAGCACUGUUUCGGCUAGGGGGCCAUCCCGGCUUACCAACCCGAUGCAAACUACGAAUACCGAAGAAUGUUAUCACGGGAGACACACGGCGGGUGCUAACGUCCGUCGUGAAGAGGGAAACAACCCAGACCGCCAGCUAAGGUCCCAAAGUCAUGGUUAAGUGGGAAACGAUGUGGGAAGGCACAGACAGCCAGGAUGUUGGCUUAGAAGCAGCCAUCAUUUAAAGAAAGCGUAAUAGCUCACUGGUCGAGUCGGCCUGCGCGGAAGAUGUAACGGGGCUAAACCAUGCACCGAAGCUGCGGCAGCGACACUAUGUGUUGUUGGGUAGGGGAGCGUUCUGUAAGCCGUUGAAGGUGUGCUGUGAGGCAUGCUGGAGGUAUCAGAAGUGCGAAUGCUGACAUAAGUAACGAUAAAGCGGGUGAAAAGCCCGCUCGCCGGAAGACCAAGGGUUCCUGUCCAACGUUAAUCGGGGCAGGGUGAGUCGACCCCUAAGGCGAGGCCGAAAGGCGUAGUCGAUGGGAAACAGGUUAAUAUUCCUGUACUUGGUGUUACUGCGAAGGGGGGACGGAGAAGGCUAUGUCAGCCGGGCGACGGUUGUCCCGGUUUAAGCAUGUAGGCGGAGGUUCCAGGUAAAUCCGGUACCUUUUAACGCUGAGGUGUGAUGACGAGGCACUACGGUGCUGAAGUGAUAAAUGCCCUGCUUCCAGGAAAAGCCUCUAAGCAUCAGGUAACACGAAAUCGUACCCCAAACCGACACAGGUGGUCAGGUAGAGAAUACCAAGGCGCUUGAGAGAACUCGGGUGAAGGAACUAGGCAAAAUGGUGCCGUAACUUCGGGAGAAGGCACGCUGAUGUGUAGGUGAAGCCCCUGCGGGCGGAGCUGAAAUCAGUCGAAGAUACCAGCUGGCUGCAACUGUUUAUUAAAAACACAGCACUGUGCAAACACGAAAGUGGACGUAUACGGUGUGACGCCUGCCCGGUGCCGGAAGGUUAAUUGAUGGGGUUAGCUGUAAGGCGAAGCUCUUGAUCGAAGCCCCGGUAAACGGCGGCCGUAACUAUAACGGUCCUAAGGUAGCGAAAUUCCUUGUCGGGUAAGUUCCGACCUGCACGAAUGGCGUAAUGAUGGCCAGGCUGUCUCCACCCGAGACUCAGUGAAAUUGAACUCGCUGUGAAGAUGCAGUGUACCCGCGGCAAGACGGAAAGACCCCGUGAACCUUUACUAUAGCUUGACACUGAACACUGGUCCUUGAUGUGUAGGAUAGGUGGGAGGCUUUGAAGCGUGGACGCCAGUCUGCGUGGAGCCAACCUUGAAAUACCACCCUUUAAUGGCUGGUGUUCUAACGUAGACCCGUAAUCCGGGUUGCGGACAGUGUCUGGUGGGUAGUUUGACUGGGGCGGUCUCCUCCCAAAGAGUAACGGAGGAGCACGAAGGUUGGCUAAUCCUGGUCGGACAUCAGGAGGUUAGUGCAAUGGCAUAAGCCAGCUUGACUGCGAGCGUGACGGCGCGAGCAGGUGCGAAAGCAGGUCAUAGUGAUCCGGUGGUUCUGAAUGGAAGGGCCAUCGCUCAACGGAUAAAAGGUACUCCGGGGAUAACAGGCUGAUACCGCCCAAGAGUUCAUAUCGACGGCGGUGUUUGGCACCUCGAUGUCGGCUCAUCACAUCCUGGGGCUGAAGUAGGUCCCAAGGGUAUGGCUGUUCGCCAUUUAAAGUGGUACGCGAGCUGGGUUUAGAACGUCGUGAGACAGUUCGGUCCCUAUCUGCCGUGGGCGCUGGAGAAUUGAGGGGGGCUGCUCCUAGUACGAGAGGACCGGAGUGGACGCAUCACUGGUGUUCGGGUUGUCAUGCCAAUGGCACUGCCCGGUAGCUAAAUGCGGAAGAGAUAAGUGCUGAAAGCAUCUAAGCACGAAACUUGCCCCGAGAUGAGUUCUCCCUGAGACUUUAAGUCUCCUGAAGGAACGUUGAAGACGACGACGUUGAUAGGUCGGGUGUGUAAGCGCAGCGAUGCGUUGAGCUAACCGAUACUAAUGAACCGUGAGGCUUAACCUU